AGCCCAGACUCCUACGGGAGGCAGCAGUGGGGGAUAUUGCACAAUGGGGGGAACCCUGAUGCAGCGACGCCGCGUGGGUGAGGAAGUACCCCGGUAUGUAAAGCCCUUUCGGCAGGGAAGAAAAUGACGGUACCUGGCGAAGAAGCCCCGGCUAACUACGUGCCAGCAGCCGCGGUAAUACGUAGGGGGCAAGCGUUAUCCGGAUUUACUGGGUGUAAAGGGAGCGUAGACGGCUGUGCAAGCCAGAUGUGAAAGCCCGGGGCUCAACCCCGGGACUGCAUUUGGAACUGCGUGGCUUGAGUGUCGGAGAGGCAGGCGGAAUUCCUAGUGUAGCGGUGAAAUGCGUAGAUAUUAGGAGGAACACCAGUGGCGAAGGCGGCCUGCUGGACGAUGACUGACGUUGAGGCUCGAAAGCGUGGGGAGCAAACAGGAUUAGAUACCCCCGUACC
RNAcentral lists this ribosomal RNA (449 nucleotides) under uncultured bacterium. RNAcentral's name for it is "bacterial SSU rRNA". It matches the Rfam family "Bacterial small subunit ribosomal RNA", at positions 328 to 794 of the family's 1533-position model. The record is from RNAcentral.